UGGGGAAUAUUGCACAAUGGGCGCAAGCCUGAUGCAGCCAUGCCGCGUGUAUGAAGAAGGCCUUCGGGUUGUAAAGUACUUUCAGUCGGGAGGAAGGUGGUAAGGUUAAUAACCUUGGCAAUUGACGUUACCGACAGAAGAAGCACCGGCUAACUCCGUGCCAGCAGCCGCGGUAAUACGGAGGGUGCAAGCGUUAAUCGGAAUUACUGGGCGUAAAGUGCACGCGGGCGGUUGAUUGAGUCAGAUGUGAAAUCCCCGGGCUUAACCCGGGAAUUGCAUCUGAUACUGGUCAGCUAGAGUCUUGUAGAGGGGGGUAGAAUUCCAUGUGUAGCGGUGAAAUGCGUAGAGAUGUGGAGGAAUACCGGUGGCGAAGGCGGCCCCCUGGACAAAGACUGACGCUCAGGUGCGAAAGCGUGGGGAGCAAACAGG
RNAcentral lists this ribosomal RNA (429 nucleotides) under Chloroflexota bacterium. Its description in RNAcentral is "Chloroflexi bacterium partial 16S ribosomal RNA". It matches the Rfam family "Bacterial small subunit ribosomal RNA", at positions 355 to 776 of the family's 1533-position model. Lineage: Bacteria; Bacillati; Chloroflexota. The record is from RNAcentral.